GAUGAACGCUGGCGGCGUGCCUAAUACAUGCAAGUCGAGCGAACGGAUGGGAAGCUUGCUUCUCUGAUGUUAGCGGCGGACGGGUGAGUAACACGUGGAUAACCUACCUAUAAGACUGGGAUAACUUCGGGAAACCGGAGCUAAUACCGGAUAAUAUUUUGAACCGCAUGGUUCAAAAGUGAAAGACGGUCUUGCUGUCACUUAUAGAUGGAUCCGCGCUGCAUUAGCUAGUUGGUAAGGUAACGGCUUACCAAGGCAACGAUGCAUAGCCGACCUGAGAGGGUGAUCGGCCACACUGGAACUGAGACACGGUCCAGACUCCUACGGGAGGCAGCAGUAGGGAAUCUUCCGCAAUGGGCGAAAGCCUGACGGAGCAACGCCGCGUGAGUGAUGAAGGUCUUCGGAUCGUAAAACUCUGUUAUUAGGGAAGAACAUAUGUGUAAGUAACUGUGCACAUCUUGACGGUACCUAAUCAGAAAGCCACGGCUAACUACGUG
RNAcentral lists this ribosomal RNA (497 nucleotides) under uncultured bacterium. RNAcentral's name for it is "partial 16S ribosomal RNA". It matches the Rfam family "Bacterial small subunit ribosomal RNA", at positions 28 to 507 of the family's 1533-position model. The record is from RNAcentral.